Molecule: long non-coding RNA, 2308 nt
Organism: Vigna radiata var. radiata (mung bean)
Lineage: Eukaryota; Viridiplantae; Streptophyta; Magnoliopsida; Fabales; Fabaceae
Exons: 8
Source: RefSeq, a predicted model, not a curated record
UGAAAAAAAAAAAACCUAACUACACCUUUCCAAAAUCAGUCUCUCAUCUCACACCCUUGCUUCUUUCUUCUUCCUUGCAAAGAAAACUAUCGUCGAUUUGUUUGAAACGCUCACCGAACUCCAGACGAGUUGAAAACUCGAACCAAUGUCCACUGCAUAUUCGAGUUUUUUCUUUAGGGCAUUGACUAAGGCAUAUAGACACUAGAGAAGAGGAUAGACGAAGGCGCGAACAUGGUUUGCCACGAAGGUGCAGAAGAGGGCGGCGUUGGCCUGGGUGCAGAGUCGCCAUGAAUCGAAGAGAAACGGCAUGGAAGAGAUGAACCACACGAGCAUCUGGCGAGACUCGAACUUGUCACGGGCUUAGUUGCUUGAUAUCAGAGCUCUAGUGGAGAUUAGGCAACCGGGAUCCCUAGAUGAUGUUGGGGGUUUGAGGAAGAAGGUAGUGUUGAUUGCUUAUAAGAGUGAUGAUAAGUCAGAGUUCCUUAAGAAGCUUGCAUUGAAGUUUAAGGGACCAGAGAAUAUCAUAUUGUUUAUUCUGGACAACCAGAUUUGAUAGGAACUCUGAACUGGUUGCAAAGUUGGUUAUCGUUAGUGGAUUUAAAGCUGCUUAUGCAAUUAAGGAUGGUGCAGAAAGACCGAGAGGAUGGAAGAACGUAUGCCUAAAAAGGUUCUUGACUUGNUGAAUGUUGAAAAGCUUACAAGGGAGGUUGUGCCCACCACCUUCAGGCAUUUUUGCGAACUUUUUUCUUUAGUUUAAUGUCUCAUUCUGUGUUUUUCUACCUCUUCUUGAACCUAAUUGCCUAAAUUGGAGAGUUCAAAGGUGAACGUUAUUUUAUUUCUUAACAGGUGCCUCCCUUGGCUGUUAAAAAGACUGGAAUAGUUGUGAGGCCCCUAAUAUUGUUGAUGCAAGACCAUGUCCAUUAAUCGGUUCUUUUAAAUGAGUCUUCUUGUUUAAAGUUUUUAUGCUCUCAAUGUCUUUCUAUACCUGUCAAUAGUGAUUAUCUAAUAAGAAAAGAUGGAAAAACAGGUGAUGGUUUUUAAAGGUUGGACUUAAUUAUGAUAUUCUAUUCACUUGAACUUAUUUUUGUAGUUUCUAGUCCAACUUAAUAAAGGUUGGAAUUAGUCUUUUUGAUGUUGAUAAAGCCCAUUGCAUAUCAGAAUGAGGACAUGAUUUUUUUGUUGAACUUAUUUCAAUGUACUUUGGACAAAGUUAUAGAGGAACUUAAAAGUUAUAACGAUCCAUAACAUAGUAGAAAGUUGUGAACAAUGUUGUUGUUGCCAUUAUAAUUGUGGUAACUAUGUGGUGGUAGAGACCCAAAAAAGCCUUGACAUUGCGGCUCCAAUUGGUUGUAGAAAGUUGCUUAAAACUUUUGUUAUUAUAGUUGAUGACAUGGUUUUGGAGGUCUUUGCAACCACAAAUGUUCAUAUGAGCAUAAAUGUAGUUCCAAGUAUUUGUGUAUUUGGUUUAUUGAGUAGGCCUAAUUUGAUGUUUGUUUGGUGGAUUUGACAUUGCUUAAGCUGCUGCAAUGUAAGGACUGCACUUUGACUGAGCCAAAACUACAUUGUUUGCAACCACUUUUUAUGGUUUACUUAUUUGUAACGCUUGUCCACAAACUUGAUAUUGUUUUAUGCAUAGAGCAUAUGAUAAGGCUGCUAUCGUCGAGUAUAUGCUGAUAUAAACUUUAGUUUAAGAGAUUAUGAGGAGGAUUUGAAGCAGAUGAGAGCUUUGACUAAGGAAGAGUUUGUGCUUGUUCUUUAUCGACAAAUCAGUGGAAUAUCGAGGAGAAACGCAACUCACAGAAGUGCAUUAGCUCUUCACAAAGGUGGUCAAAGGAGAACCAAGUAUAAAGACCAUUUAUUGGCAAGACGUUGAUUUGAUUGGAGUGUACUAUGAUGUUGGGGACAAUGUAAAGUUUGGUUUUCCAUGGCCUUCUCCACCACUAUGCUUUCUUGGAGUGUUAUUGACUUUGGUGGGAGAGAUGAAAGAAUGCCAAAGAAGCCAUUUGUUGGGGUACAUCUUAUCUUCUUAAAGGUAAUGCUCAUNAGGCGCCAUUUAUGUCNAGGUGGAAAUGCUGAGAAUGACCAUGCUUGUUAGGAGAGAUUUGAGGACAUGGACUUCCCCAUAGUACUAAGUUUUGUAAUCUGGUUUUGCCUCUUAUCAAAUAUAUAAGAUUUUUAGUUAUUGAACGCAAAUAUAGGUAUUAUUAUUAGAGAACUUUAGGUACUCCAGGUUUUAUUUAUUUAUCUUUGGAAAUCUUUUACUCAUAAAUAGUUAUAAAUGUUUCAUCUAUUAGAUGGUUUUUGGUCA